AAGUCAGUAACAAGGUUUCCGUUAGGUGAACCUGCGGAAGGAUCAUUACCAAUUUUAUCGGGGGGACUUCGGUCCCCUGUCUGAACCCUUGUCUUUUGCGUACUAUUUGUUUCCUUGGUGGCUUUGCCUGCCAAUAGGACACUAUUAAACCUUUUGUAAUUGCAGUCAGCGUCAGAAAAACAUAAUAAUUACAA
This 194-nucleotide unclassified non-coding RNA is filed under the name plant metagenome. RNAcentral describes it as "partial contains small subunit ribosomal RNA and internal transcribed spacer 1". The record is from RNAcentral.